Molecule: ribosomal RNA, 253 nt
Filed under: uncultured bacterium
Lineage: Bacteria
Description: partial 16S ribosomal RNA
Rfam family: Bacterial small subunit ribosomal RNA
Source: RNAcentral
UACGAAGGGGGCGAGCGUUGUUCGGAUUUACUGGGCGUAAAGGGCGCGCAGGCGGCCAUUCAAGUCAGGCGUGAAAGCCCCGGGCUUAACCUGGGAGGUGCGCUUGGGACUGGGUGGCUAGAGAUCGGGAGAGGAGAGUGGAAUUCCCAGUGUAGAGGUGAAAUUCGUAGAUAUUGGGAAGAACACCAGUGGCGAAGGCGGCUCACUGGUCCGGUACUGACGCUGAGGAGCGAAAGCAUGGGGAGCGAACAGG